This is a non-coding RNA of Hemiscyllium ocellatum (epaulette shark), 73 nucleotides long. Lineage: Eukaryota; Metazoa; Chordata; Chondrichthyes; Orectolobiformes; Hemiscylliidae. The record is from the annotation of a RefSeq genome assembly.
GUUUCCGUAGUGUAGUGGUUAUCACGUUCGCCUUACCCGCGAAAAGUCCCUAGUUCAAUCCUGGGUGGGAACA